UACAGAGGGGGCAAGCGUUGUUCGGAAUUACUGGGCGUAAAGGGCGCGUAGGCGGCCUGUUAAGUCGAACGUGAAAUCCCCAGGCUCAACCUGGGAACUGCGUCCGAUACUGGCAGGCUUGAAUCCGGGAGAGGGAUGCGGAAUUCCAGGUGUAGCGGUGAAAUGCGUAGAUAUCUGGAGGAACACCGGUGGCGAAGGCGGCAUCCUGGACCGGUAUUGACGCUGAGGAGCGAAAGCGUGGGGAGCGAACAGG
RNAcentral lists this ribosomal RNA (253 nucleotides) under uncultured bacterium. RNAcentral describes it as "partial 16S ribosomal RNA". It matches the Rfam family "Bacterial small subunit ribosomal RNA", at positions 524 to 776 of the family's 1533-position model. The record is from RNAcentral.